Molecule: long non-coding RNA, 342 nt
Organism: Helianthus annuus (common sunflower)
Lineage: Eukaryota; Viridiplantae; Streptophyta; Magnoliopsida; Asterales; Asteraceae
Exons: 3
Source: RefSeq, a predicted model, not a curated record
CAGGAGCAAAGAACCAAGAAGAAACCUUUGUUGUUCAAAAUUCUGAAAAUUAGAAGGGUUUAAGAAGCCAAAUCAGAUGCAUGAACUCAAAAUCUUAAUCAUCUAAGCUUGUUCAUCAAAGUGGCGUAAAGGAAGAAAGUUCAAGUCAAGCGAAGCAACAAGGGAAUCAAGAUCAAGGUAAAACUCAAGUCUAAAUGGUCAAGCUUCGCUCGGAUCGAACACACUUCGAAUGCCCUCCACGUGCUUCCGCAACUUUUGAAACAAUGUUAACGGGUCAAAAAUACUUUUGUUAAAUAGCUUAUGUUUGGUAGUUAAACUUUAAACUUGAUAUGCUAUGUCUUU